UGGGGAAUCUUGCAUAAUGGGCGCAAGCCUGAUGCAGCCAUGUCGCGUGUAUGAAGAAGGCCUUCGGGUUGUAAAGUACUUUCAGCGGGGAGGAAGGGAGUAAAGUUAAUACCUUUGCUCAUUGACGUUACCCGCAGAAGAAGCACCGGCUAACUCCGUGCCAGCAGCCGCGGUAAUACGGAGGGUGCAAGCGUUCAUCGGAAUUACUGGGCGUAAAGCGCACGCAGGCGGUUUGUUAAGUCAGAUGUGAAAUCCCCGGGCUCAACCUGGGAACUGCAUCUGAUACUGGCAAGCUUGAGUCUCGUAGAGGGGGGUAGAAUUCCAGGUGUAGCGGUGAAAUGCGUAGAGAUCUGGAGGAAUACCGGUGGCGAAGGCGGCCCCCUGGACGAAGACUGACGCUCAGGUGCGAAAGCGUGGGGAGCAAACAGG
Molecule: ribosomal RNA, 429 nt
Filed under: Chloroflexota bacterium
Lineage: Bacteria; Bacillati; Chloroflexota
Description: Chloroflexi bacterium partial 16S ribosomal RNA
Rfam family: Bacterial small subunit ribosomal RNA
Source: RNAcentral